Molecule: long non-coding RNA, 932 nt
Organism: Clupea harengus (Atlantic herring)
Lineage: Eukaryota; Metazoa; Chordata; Actinopteri; Clupeiformes; Clupeidae
Source: Ensembl
GCACAUCAGCUAAGCACAGAGAGAUAACGUAGCGCGCGAGCUCUGCACCUACAGGCUAAUUACCCAUGAUUCAUCAGUCACUGAGCUCCCACGCUGGCUAAUUGAUUCCUGAAUUAAUAUUUGGCUUCAGAUGAUAAUGUCGUUGUGGCAUCUGACAUGCUACCCAUGGCGAUUGAACACUGCCUGUUUUUAAAUAUGCUAAUGGCCCAAGGUGAUUAUCAUAAACCCCAACAUAUCAACACAGAGGCACACUACAACUCUCACUCUCCGUAUAUGUAUAUCAACACAGAGGCACACCACAACUCUCACUCUCCGUAUAUGUAUAUCAACACAGAGGCACACUACAACUCUCUCUCUCCAGUGGCUGUAUGUGGUAUAUGUGUAUCAACACAGAGGCACACUACAACUCUCUCACUCUCCGUAUAUGUGUAUCAACACAGAGGCACACUACAACUCUCUCUCUCCGUAUAUAUGUAUAUCAACACAGAGGCACACUACAACUGUCUCUCUCUCCGUAUAUGUAUAUCAACACAGAGGCACACUACAACUCUCUCUCUCCGUAUAUGUAUAUCAACACAGAGGCACACUACAACUCUCUCUCUCCAGUGGCUGUAUGUGGUAUAUGUGUAUCAACACAGAGGCACACUACAACUCUCACUCUCCGUAUAUGUGUAUCAACACAGAGGCACACUACAACUCUCACUCUCUCCGUAUAUGUAUAUGCAACACAGAGGCACACUACAACUCUCUCUCUCCAGUGGCUGUAUGUGGUAUAUGUCUGCAGGCUUAAAGGACUGCGCCUUUGUGUAUUAGGAUCACAACAUUAACAAAAUUAACAACAUUAACAACUUGCUUCUCCCAAAAAAUACUCUCAAUGAUGAAUGUCAAUGUGGGAAUGUUGAAAACCUCUCAAUGAUGAAUGUAAAUGUGGG